UACGGAGGUUGCGAGCGUUAUCCGGACUUCCUGGGUUUAAAGGGUGCGUAGGCGGCCAUGUAAGUCAGGAGUGAAAGUUUGCGGCUCAACCGUAAAAUUGCUUUUGAUACUGCAUGGCUGGAAUCAGGAUGAGGUCAGCGGAAUGUGGCAUGUAGCGGUGAAAUGCAUAGAUAUGCCAUAGAACACCAAUUGCGAAGGCAGCUGGCUAGACCUGUAUUGACGCUGAGGCACGAAAGCGUGGGGAGCGAACAGG
RNAcentral lists this ribosomal RNA (253 nucleotides) under uncultured bacterium. RNAcentral describes it as "partial 16S ribosomal RNA". It matches the Rfam family "Bacterial small subunit ribosomal RNA", at positions 524 to 776 of the family's 1533-position model. The record is from RNAcentral.